RNAcentral lists this ribosomal RNA (320 nucleotides) under uncultured eukaryote. RNAcentral describes it as "partial 18S ribosomal RNA". It matches the Rfam family "Eukaryotic small subunit ribosomal RNA", at positions 1470 to 1796 of the family's 1831-position model. The record is from RNAcentral.
CCCCUAGAUGUUCUGGGCCGCACGCGCGCUACACUGAACAGUUCAACAAGUCUUAACCUUGGCCGAUAGGUCUGGGUAAUCUUUGAACGCUGUUCGUGAUUGGGAUAGACCUUUGCAAUUAUGGGUCUUCAACGAGGAAUUCCUAGUAAACGCAAGUCAUCAGCUUGCAUUGAUUACGUCCCUGCCCUUUGUACACACCGCCCGUCGCACCUACCGAUUGAAUGGUCCGGUGAAAUCUCGGGCCGGCGGCUUGGUCGCUUGCGUCCGACUGCUGAAACUUGAUUAAACCAUAUCAUUUAGAGGAAGGUGAAGUCGUAACA